Molecule: long non-coding RNA, 1699 nt
Organism: Xenopus tropicalis (tropical clawed frog)
Lineage: Eukaryota; Metazoa; Chordata; Amphibia; Anura; Pipidae
Exons: 2
Source: RefSeq, a predicted model, not a curated record
GCACCUGACAUUUAACCGCUUGACUGCCACGGGUGUGCAUUGCUAACUGGCUAAUUUGCAGCAAGUCAACAUUUUUACCCCCCUUCCUUUUAGUUUGCAUUACAAAUACUUUUUGUUUAGUCCCCCAGUAUAUGCAGGUGCUGCUGUAUAGCCAGUCUGGCAAUGCAGACAAUUUCUAUUUUAUCCCUUAACAAUAAAUGAGAUGUUCCCUUAGAUAUGUGGAUUAGUGACAGUGGCGCAUUGCUCGGGCGAGGUAAUGUCAUUAGAUGUAUGCGCAUCAUGCAAGUGUGGUUAGUGGUUUGGCAAAUACUGAUGAGUCUGUGCUACUACACAAGUGAAAGCAUCACAGCCACAAAAUAUGUGCAUUCUAAAUACAACUUUUAUUUUAUUUUAUUGUCAACAUUGUUAAUGAUAAAAAUAGAGCCGAUUCGCAGGUAUUUUUGCAUUCGUAGCGAGGCAAUUAGAGAUCUAAUCAGGAAUACACACAAAAAAAAAUCUCCCAUGAUUAACUGCAGUACUUUGUUCAAAUUGCUACUAUAAAAUUCAGAACAAUUUGCCUGUAAUGAUUAUGGACUGGGUUUAUUUUGGGAGGUGGAAUAAAAGUGGAUAUAGCAUAAAUUAUCCUCUAAUUAUACACCAGUGUCGCCUCAAUUAUCCUCUUAUCAAAAUGGUUGUCUAACUGCAGCAUUUAGUUUCACUUCAUUUUUAUAAAAAGAACUUCAUACCUUAUUAUUAUUAAUCCAUUUAUUAUUUGCUAGGGGAUUUAUAUCUGCACAUCCAGCUGCUUGUACCAUUUCUGUUCCAAAGAUGGACUGGGUAAGACACUAAACUUUGCACAUUGGGCUAUGCUGGAUCUAGAUUAGGAUUUGGAAUCUUCUGUAGGGAGAAGAAAUUGAAGCAGGUUGGUCUUCAGGUGCCAGCAACUAAACGACCAAGUAGGAAAUCUGUGUAUGGAACGAAUGAGUAGAUCUAUACUUAUUUAAAUCCCUGAACGUUAUCAUUGGCUUGUGGAUGGAAUGUCACCAGAACUGAACAGUAUUUCUGUUUUCCUUAAGCGGAACCGUUCGAUUGUGGACAGAAUUGUUGGAUUUUAUCCCUAUUAUUUUUCUUCAUUUAAUAGAAUCCAGUUUCCUCGCUCCAGAUUCCAUGACAACGGCCGGUGAUAAAAGGGCAGACUUCUUCCCUGCUUCAUAUUUAGGAUCCGUAACUUUAGAUCUGCUGCAUGUCAACAGCCAUAUAAUUCAAUACACCUGUGUAUGAUAAAUGCUAUGUUGAUUUUUCACUUAUCGAUAAUGAGCCUUUCUAGCAAAGACUGUUAGGGAAAAUACUGUACUUAGAAACGUUUAGAAGCUCUUUGGAUAAGUGAAGGCACUCAGUUACAGAAAACAGAAAUAACAGAGUGCUUGGGAAAAAUGGCUGCUACAAAUGCAGAUAAGGGGUUACUUUUGAUAACUGGGGGCACUGCCUGUGCAGUAAACAUGUUUGGUUCAGUAGCUGUCAAAGUCACCUGCUAAAGUGUAGAACUGUUCUUCUUGGGUGAACUUUAUCAUCAAUAUAAUUGGUAUCUCUAAUGGUCAAAUAUACUGGAAAAAAGAACCCCGACUGUAGUAAUGGGAUUUGAUAUCUAGGCCCAUUUUUCUAAAAUAUAAAUGAAGACUGUUGGCAAUGAUAAAUUGUUCCAAUCGGCCGGUUUGAUUGA